RNAcentral lists this ribosomal RNA (1338 nucleotides) under Brassica rapa (field mustard). Its description in RNAcentral is "SSU rRNA". It matches the Rfam family "Eukaryotic small subunit ribosomal RNA", at positions 634 to 1823 of the family's 1831-position model. Lineage: Eukaryota; Viridiplantae; Streptophyta; Magnoliopsida; Brassicales; Brassicaceae. The record is from RNAcentral.
UUUCAAUUUUACAGGAGACGGCUGAAAAUAAGUCGUCUAUGGAAGUCAAAAUUUCGACAAAAUCUAGUCAAAUGCAAAAUUAACCUAGGACAACUUACAUGUAAGUCGUCUAGGUUCUUUGGAGAUUUUUUUGUAACAAAAAAAAAGCAGACGAUUUAUAUUUCAGUUGUCUCAGAAAACAGAUUUCUUCACCCCCGGUCCGCCUUGGUGAGCACCGGUCGGCUUGUCUCUUCUGUCGGCGAUACGCUCCUGGCCUUAACUGGCCGGGUCGUGCCUCCGGCGCUGUUACUUUGAAGAAAUUAGAGUGCUCAAAGCAAGCCUACGCUCUGUAUACAUUAGCAUGGGAUAACAUCAUAGGAUUUCGAUCCUAUUGUGUUGGCUUUCGGGAUCGGAGUAAUGAUUAACAGGGACAGUCGGGGGCAUUUGUAUUUCAUAGUCAGAGGUGAAAUUCUUGGAUUUAUGAAAGACGAAAACAACUGCGAAAGCAUUUGCCAAGGAUGUUUUCAUUAAUCAAGAACGAAAGUUGGGGGCUCGAAGACGAUCAGAUACCGUCCUAGUCUCAACCAUAAACGAUGCCGACCAGGGAUCAGCGGAUGUUGCUUUUAGGACUCCGCUGGCACCUUAUGAGAAAUCAAAGUUUUUGGGUUCCGGAGGGAGUAUGGUCGCAAGGCUGAAACUUAAAGGAAUUGACGGAAGGGCACCACCAGGAGUGGAGCCUGCGGCUUAAUUUGACUCAACACGGGGAAACUUACCAGGUCCAGACAUAGUAAGGAUUGACAAACUGAGAGCUCUUUCUUGAUUCUAUGGGUGGUGGUGCAUGGCCGUUCUUAGUUGGUGGAGCGAUUUGUCCGGUUAAUUCCGUUAACGAGCGAGACCUCACCGCUAACUAGCUACGUGGAGGCAUCCCUUCACGGCCGACUUCUUAGAGGGACUAUGGCGUUUUUAGGCCAAGGAAGUUUGAGGCAAUAACAGUGUCUGUGAUGCCCUUAGAUGUUUUGGGCGCGAUGCGCUUAAGCGAUGUAUUCAACGAGUUCACACCUUGGCCGACGGGCCCGGAUAAUCUUUGAAAUUUCAUCGUGAUGGGGAUAGAUCAUUGCAAUUGUUGGUCUUCAACGAGGAAUUCCUAGUAAGCGCGAGUCAUCAGCUCGCGUUGACUACGUCCCCGCCCUUUGUACACACCGCCCGUCGCUCCUACCGAUUGAAUGAUCCGGUGAAGUGUUCGGAUCGCGGCGACGUGGGUGGUUCGCCGUCUGCGACGUCGCGAGAAGUCCACUAAACCUUAUCAUUUAGAGGAAGGAGAAAUCGAACAAGGUUUCCGUAGGUGAACUCGCGCGGAAG